Molecule: ribosomal RNA, 999 nt
Filed under: uncultured bacterium BURTON-46
Lineage: Bacteria; Pseudomonadati; Chlamydiota; Chlamydiia; Chlamydiales
Description: bacterial SSU rRNA
Rfam family: Bacterial small subunit ribosomal RNA
Source: RNAcentral
CAGCAGCUGCGGUAAUACGGAGGGUGCGAGCAUUAAUCGGAUUUAUGGGGCGUAAAGGGCGCGUAGGCGGAGAUGUAAGCCAGAUGUGAAAGCCCGGGGCUCAACCCCGGAAUAGCAUUUGGAACUACAUCCCUUGAGGAUAGGCGGAGAAAACGGAAUUCCACAUGUAGCGGUGAAAUGCGUAGAUAUGUGGAGGAACACCGGUGGCGAAGGCGGUUUUCUAGCUUAUUCCUGACGCUGAGGCGCGAAAGCAGGGGGAGCAAACAGGAUUAGAUACCCUGGUAGUCCCUGCCGUAAACGAUGCACACUUGGUGUAGUUGGACUCAACCCCGACUGUGCCGGAGCUAACGCGUUAAGUGUGCCGCCUGGGGAGUACGCUCGCAAGGGUGAAACUCAAAAGAAUUGACGGGGACCCGCACAAGCAGUGGAGCAUGUGGUUUAAUUCGAUGCAACGCGAAGAACCUUACCCAGACUUGACAUGUAGGGGACAGCCUUGGAAACAAGGUCUCUCGGAUGAGUCGCUACACAGGUGCUGCAUGGCUGUUGUCAGCUCGUGCCGUGAGGUGUUGGGUUAAGUCCCGCAACGAGCGCAACCCUUGUCGUUAGUUGCCAGCACGUAAUGGUGGGAACUCUAACGAGACUGCCUGGGUUAACCAGGAGGAAGGUGAGGAUGACGUCAAGUCCGCAUGGCCCUUAUGUCUGGGGCUACACACGUGCUACAAUGGCCGGUACAGAGGGCAGCGAAACCGCGAGGUCAAGCAAAUCCCAGAAAGCCGGUCUCAGUUCGGAUUGUAGUCUGCAACUCGACUACAUGAAGCCGGAAUUGCUAGUAAUGGCGUGUCAGCAAUAACGCCGUGAAUACGUUCCCGGGUCUUGUACACACCGCGGGUCACAUCAUGGGAGUUGGUUUCACCCGAAGUCGUCGACUUAAGUUGCAAAGGAGAGAGGCGCCAAAGGUGCCUUCAAAAAUCAUGAUGAAGUCGUAACAAGGUAACCGUA